GGAUCAAUACGUCGGUCGUGCCUCUGGUAUGAACUGGUGUUAUUGAUUCCUCCUUUCUGAUAAACCAUGAUGUCAUCAAUUUGGUGUUGUGGGAGUCAGGACUGUUACUUUGAAAAACUAGAGUGUUUAAAGCAGGCCUACGCUUGAGUACAUUAGCAUGGAAUAAUGAAAUAGGACGUUCGAACCUAUUUUGUUGGUUUCUAGGAUCAACGUAAUGAUUAAUAGGGAUAGUUGGGC
Molecule: ribosomal RNA, 237 nt
Filed under: uncultured Glomeromycotina
Lineage: Eukaryota; Fungi; Glomeromycota
Description: partial 18S ribosomal RNA
Rfam family: Eukaryotic small subunit ribosomal RNA (bases 40-237)
Source: RNAcentral